This 497-nucleotide ribosomal RNA is filed under the name uncultured bacterium. RNAcentral's name for it is "partial 16S ribosomal RNA". It matches the Rfam family "Bacterial small subunit ribosomal RNA", at positions 28 to 507 of the family's 1533-position model. The record is from RNAcentral.
GAUGAACGCUGGCGGCGUGCCUAAUACAUGCAAGUCGAGCGAACGGACGAGAAGCUUGCUUCUCUGAUGUUAGCGGCGGACGGGUGCGUCACACGUGGAUAACCUACCUAUAAGACUGGGAUAACUUCGGCAAACCGGAUCUACUACCGGAUAAUAUUUUGCACCUCAUUGUUCACACGUGAAAGACGGUCUUGCUGUCACUUAUAGAUGGCUACGCCCUGCAUUAGCUAGUUGGUAAGGUAGCUGCUUACCAAAGCAGCGACGCAAACCCGACCUAAGAGGGACAUCGGACACACUGGAAGUGAGACAGGUUAGAGACUCUUACGGUGGGAAGCAGUAGGGAAUCCUCCGCGAGGCAGGAAAGCGUGACGGUGCAACACCGCGUGAGUGAUGAAGGUCUUAUGAUCGGAAAGCGCUGUUAUUAGGAAAGAACAAAUGUGUAAUUAACUGGGAACAUCUUGACGGUACCUAAUCAGAAAGCCACGGCUAACUACGUG